Molecule: ribosomal RNA, 440 nt
Filed under: uncultured bacterium
Lineage: Bacteria
Description: partial 16S ribosomal RNA
Rfam family: Bacterial small subunit ribosomal RNA
Source: RNAcentral
CCUACGGGUGACAGCAGUAGGGAAUAUUGCUCAAUGGGGGAAACCCUGAAGCAGCAACGCCGCGUGGAGGAUGAAGGUUUUCGGAUUGUAAACUCCUUUUGUUAGAGAAGAUAAUGACGGUAUCUAACGAAUAAGCACCGGCUAACUCCGUGCCAGCAGCCGCGGUAAUACGGAGGGUGCAAGCGUUACUCGGAAUCACUGGGCGUAAAGGGCGCGUAGGCGGGAUAGCAAGUCAGAUGUGAAAUCCUAUGGCUUAACCAUAGAACUGCAUUUGAAACUGUUAUUCUAGAGUAUGGGAGAGGUAGGUGGAAUUCGUGGUGUAGGGGUAAAAUCCGUAGAGAUCAAGAAGAAUACUCAUAGCGAAGGCGGCCUGCUAGAACAUGACUGACGCUGAUGCGCGAAAGCGUGGGGAGCAAACAGGAUUAGAUACCCCAGUAGUC